Molecule: ribosomal RNA, 301 nt
Filed under: uncultured bacterium
Lineage: Bacteria
Description: partial 16S ribosomal RNA
Rfam family: Bacterial small subunit ribosomal RNA
Source: RNAcentral
CAGCAGCCGCGGGAAUACGUAGGUGGCAAGCGUUGUCCGGAAUUAUUGGGCGUAAAGGGCUCGCAGGCGGUUUCUUAAGUCUGAUGUGAAAGCCCCCGGCUCAACCGGGGAGGGUCAUUGGAAACUGGGAAACUUGAGUGCAGAAGAGGAGAGUGGAAUUCCGCGUGUAGCGGUGAAAUGCGUAGAGAUGUGGAGGAACACCAGUGGCGAAGGCGACUCUCUGGUCUGUAACUGACGCUGAGGAGCGAAAGCGUGGGGAGCGAACAGGAUUAGAUACCCCCGUAGUCCCUGUCUCUUAUCC